UACGUAGGGGGCAAGCGUUGUCCGGAAUCAUUGGGCGUAAAGAGCGUGUAGGCGGUUCGGUAAGUCGGCUGUGAAAGUCCAGGGCUCAACCCUGGGAUGCCGGUCGAUACUGCCGGACUAGAGUUCGGAAGAGGCGAGUGGAAUUCCCGGUGUAGCGGUGAAAUGCGCAGAUAUCGGGAGGAACACCUAUGGCGAAGGCGAAUCCCUGGAAAAUACCUGACACUGAGGCACGAAAGCUAGGGGAGCAAACAGG
This 253-nucleotide ribosomal RNA is filed under the name uncultured bacterium. Its description in RNAcentral is "partial 16S ribosomal RNA". It matches the Rfam family "Bacterial small subunit ribosomal RNA", at positions 524 to 776 of the family's 1533-position model. The record is from RNAcentral.